AUUAAUCAGGCAGCUAAGAGAACAGCUUCAUUGGGUCCUGAAAUCUUUAAGCUGCACAUGCGCAUCCUGAAAUUUCUCUUUCUCGGUGGACGCCAUGGCGGACGCAGAAAAAAAGGUGCCCUCGGUCCCCGAGAGCCUUUUGAAAAGGCGAAAGGCCUACGCCGCCAGCAAGGCCUUUCGCAUAAAACGGCUGCUGGCAGUUAAAAAGGCCCGUAAAGCAGAACGAAAGGUCAUCUACAAAAGGGCUGAGCAGUACCACAAGGAGUACAGGCAGAUGUACAGGCGUGAGAUCCGCUUUUCACGAACUGCCCGCAGUGUGGGAAACUAUUAUGUGCCAGCUGAGCCCAAAUUGGCAUUUGUCAUCAGGAUCAGAGGUAUCAAUGGCGUCAGCCCAAAGGUCCGCAAAGUUCUGCAGUUGAUGCGUCUCCGUCAGAUCUUCAACGGGGUGUUCGUCAAGCUUAACAAGGCUUCAAUUAACAUGCUCAGGAUUGCAGAACCUUACAUUGCAUGGGGAUAUCCCAACCUGAAGUCUGUGCGUGAGCUCAUCUACAAACGUGGCCAUGGCAAGAUCAGGAAACAGCGUAUUGCCCUUACAGACAACGUUUUGGUGAAGAACAACCUUGGUAAAUAUGGCAUCAUCUGCGUAGAGGACCUUAUCCAUGAGAUUUACACCGUUGGCAAGAACUUCAAGUCUGCCAACAACUUCCUGUGGCCCUUCAAGCUGUCGUCACCUCGUGGUGGCAUGAACAAGAAGACCACCCACUUUGUGGAAGGAGGUGAUGCUGGCAACAGGGAGGAUCAAAUCAACAGAAUGAUCAGGAGGAUGAACUAGUCCAGCAAGAAGACAAGUGUCCUCCCUCCACUAGGAGGCAACCUACACCACCAAGAGAAUAUGCAGCUCUUUGGCUUCUCCAAGAUGCUUUCAGACGGCCCUGGUUGGAGGCCCUUCACGUUGAGCUACUCUGAGGGGUACAAACCCAAAGUGAAUCAUGCUGCCUGUUUCCCAUCUACGUUAGUCCUUCAAGGCUUGAGCACUUUUCCAGUGCAGAACUGCAAGUACAGCAGGGCCAAAGUGAAUGAUCCAGGCUAUGACCUCCCCACAGUUCAAGACAAUGUGACGAGUCAGUCAUACGCAGACCCCGUGAUGGGAGCCUCCUGCUCCUUUCUCCAUCGGAUAUCUGAGUUGUCCUGCUUGGAGGGUGAGACGGUGAGGCAGGAAAAGCUCAAGAGAACCAGCAUGUCCAGAAAAGCCUCGUCAUCUUGACAAUCACUGCUACCCCAGUCAAAGUGGUCCAGAGGGGAAACAGACUUUGAGUCGAUGCCGAGGACGGGCGAAGGACAUCAAACCUUGAGGGCAACCUGUUCGUUUAAGUGGCUCCUUUUUUCUACUCUUUUGUCUUCAUUGGUGCUCAUUUUCUGCCUGACAUGGUUAGCUGUUUUACUCUGUCAUUAAUUAACCUUUCAGCGUGUCAAAAUCAAUAUAUAAAGUAUUGUAUAGAGAGAGUAUUGAAGAUUGAUUUUACAAACUUGAUGCAUGUUCUCCCCGGGCCUGCGUGGGUUUUCUCCGGGUGCGCCGGUUUCCUCCCACAUUCCAAAAACAUGCAUAGAAGGCUGAUUGAACACUCUAAAUUGUCCCUAGGUGUGAGUGUGAGUGUGGAUGGUUGUUCGUCUCUGUGUGCCCUGUGAUUGGCUGGCAACCAAUUCAGGGUGCCCCCCGCCUGCUGCCCGAAGACAGCUGGGAUAGGCUCCAGCAAACCCCCCCCCCCCCCCCCCCCCGCCACCCGGGUGAGGAUCAAGCGGCUCGGAAGAUGAAUGAAUGAAUGAUGGAACAAACUUGCAUUUUGAUAAUUGCAAUGUGUGUUUGUCUCAUCUCUACGCAUGUCUUAUACUUUCUCCCUUUCAUAAUGUUGCUGCUGUAAAUUGGGAAUUUCUCCAUUGUGAGACAAAUAAAAGUUUUCUUAUCUUACCAGUCACAA
Hippocampus zosterae (dwarf seahorse) is the source of this 1976-nucleotide RNA transcript. It is a transcript of the gene named 60S ribosomal protein L7-like, with no coding region annotated. The record is from RefSeq and is a predicted model, not a curated record. NCBI's taxonomy places the organism in Eukaryota, Metazoa, Chordata, Actinopteri, Syngnathiformes, Syngnathidae. The transcript has 10 exons.